This is a non-coding RNA of Podarcis lilfordi (Lilford's wall lizard), 78 nucleotides long. The record is from the annotation of a GenBank genome assembly. Lineage: Eukaryota; Metazoa; Chordata; Lepidosauria; Squamata; Lacertidae.
UUAACCCAAAAACAUUGCAGUGUGCUGUCUCAGAAACAGAUAUUUCUGAGACAGCACACUGCAAUGUUUUUGGGCAAA